This 374-nucleotide ribosomal RNA is filed under the name uncultured organism. RNAcentral's name for it is "bacterial SSU rRNA". It matches the Rfam family "Bacterial small subunit ribosomal RNA", at positions 526 to 896 of the family's 1533-position model. The record is from RNAcentral.
CGGGGGGAGCAAGCGUUGUUCGGAUUUACUGGGCGUAAAGGGCGCGUAGGCGGCCACCGCAAGUCGACUGUGAAAUCUCCGGGCUUAACUCGGAAAGGUCAGCCGAUACUGCGGGGCUAGAGUGCAGAAGGGGCAACUGGAAUUCUCGGUGUAGCGGUGAAAUGCGUAGAUAUCGAGAGGAACACCUGCGGCGAAGGCGGGUUGCUGGGCUGACACUGACGCUGAGGCGCGAAAGCUAGGGGAGCGAACGGGAUUAGAUACCCCGGUAGUCCUAGCCUUAAACGAUGAAUGCUUGGUGUCUGGGGUUUUAUAGUCCCCGGGUGCCGUCGCUAACGCUUUAAGCAUUCCGCCUGGGGAGUACGGUCGCAAGACUG